RNAcentral lists this ribosomal RNA (301 nucleotides) under uncultured bacterium. RNAcentral describes it as "partial 16S ribosomal RNA". It matches the Rfam family "Bacterial small subunit ribosomal RNA", at positions 509 to 810 of the family's 1533-position model. The record is from RNAcentral.
CAGUAGCCGCGGUAAUACGUAGGUGGCGAGCGUUGUCCGGAAUCAUUGGGCGUAAAGGGAGCGCAGGCGGGCAUGUAAGUCUUUCUUAAAAGUUCGGGGCUCAACCCCGUGAUGGGAAAGAAACUAUAUGUCUUGAGUACAGGAGAGGAAAGCGGAAUUCCCAGUGUAGCGGUGAAAUGCGUAGAUAUUAGGAGGAACACCGGAGGCGAAGGCGGCUUACUGGACGACAACUGACGUUGAGGCUCGAAGGCGUGGGGAGCAAACAGGAUUAGAUACCCCUGUAGUCCCUGUCUCUUAUACU